UACGGGGGGAGCAAGCGUUGUUCGGAUUUACUGGGCGUAAAGGGCGCGUAGGCGGCCACCGCAAGUCGACUGUGAAAUCUCCGGGCUUAACCCGGAAAGGUCAGCAGAUACUGCGGGGCUAGAGUGCAGAAGGGGCAACUGGAAUUCUCGGUGUAGCGGUGAAAUGCGUAGAUAUCAAGAGGAACACCUGAGGUGAAGACGGGUUGCUGGGCCGACACUGACGCUGGAGCGCGAAAGCCAGGGGAGCAAACGGG
This 254-nucleotide ribosomal RNA is filed under the name uncultured bacterium. RNAcentral's name for it is "partial 16S ribosomal RNA". It matches the Rfam family "Bacterial small subunit ribosomal RNA", at positions 524 to 776 of the family's 1533-position model. The record is from RNAcentral.